Molecule: non-coding RNA, 30 nt
Filed under: Homo sapiens (human)
Lineage: Eukaryota; Metazoa; Chordata; Mammalia; Primates; Hominidae
Source: RNAcentral
UGUCCAACCUGUACUCGCGUCGGAACCUGC